AAUGUUAUUGGUUCUUCGCAUCGUUCGGGGCAUUUUGGGGGCUGUUUUGGCUUUUGGUUGCUUGGCUGGCAUUGUGCUAGGUGGGUGGUCAUUUGCUUGAUGGUCUUCGGAAAUGUUAACCGUAAAGGUGCAUGAGUGGUGAUUGGUUUGUUACCGGUGGUUGGCUCUUUGCUUGCGCAACAACUUCCACCUGGCUUACCUCCUCAUUUAUGUUUCAAGGCUUCUAUCGUCUUGAGCAUAUUGUGGGUUUCCUGUGCUGCCUACCUAGUUGACGGUAUAGUUUUGAUUUAUCGAAGUCCCUUUUCAUCUUGUGUUGCUUUUGUGACUCAUGAUGAACCUUGAAGCGGUCUCUAUGAUCCAUCCUGUUGAUACACAUGUAUUGAUGGUGUGGCCCAUUGAGUGUAGCGUGGUAUCCUGGAUACAGAACAUGAAGUGGGCUUGGGGUCUUUUAUGGCUCUUGUAUUGUCCUCGUUCAGUGUUCUUUUAAACGACGGUUCAUGCGCGCCUAGGCUCGUACCUGCGUGAUGAACUUUGUCGAAGAGGAAUGCUACCUGGUU
Molecule: unclassified non-coding RNA, 557 nt
Filed under: Euryops pectinatus
Lineage: Eukaryota; Viridiplantae; Streptophyta; Magnoliopsida; Asterales; Asteraceae
Description: partial contains external transcribed spacer and 18S ribosomal RNA
Source: RNAcentral